CCAAUCACCGGCGAUGCAUCGGAGGUAGAUUCUGACUACCGGCGUCGCUUCAGAAGUAAAUUCCGAUCACCGGCAACGCGUCGGAGGUAUUUUCCAAUCACCGACAACGCUUCAGAAGUUAAUUCCGAUCACCGGCAACACGUUGGAGGU
Non-coding RNA from Caenorhabditis elegans, 150 nucleotides. Lineage: Eukaryota; Metazoa; Nematoda; Chromadorea; Rhabditida; Rhabditidae. The record is from Ensembl.